RNAcentral lists this unclassified non-coding RNA (213 nucleotides) under Hevea brasiliensis (rubber tree). Lineage: Eukaryota; Viridiplantae; Streptophyta; Magnoliopsida; Malpighiales; Euphorbiaceae. The record is from RNAcentral.
GAAUUCUCUGGUAUAUGUGCACUGUCUUCUUGAAAUCUUCAAUUCUAGUAUAUAACUUGAGCAUUGAAUUCCAUAUUGAAAGAUCUGGCUUGAAUCCAGCUUCCUCCAUUUCAGAAAGCAUGGCUUCAGCAUCCCUCACUUGUUUAGUUCUGGACAGUAACCCAAUUAUAACUCUAUAAAGAUGCAUGGUAGGUAAAUAUCCAGCAGCUCUCA